Molecule: ribosomal RNA, 322 nt
Filed under: uncultured Chloroflexota bacterium
Lineage: Bacteria; Bacillati; Chloroflexota
Description: bacterial SSU rRNA
Rfam family: Bacterial small subunit ribosomal RNA
Source: RNAcentral
GAUGAACGCUGGCGGCGUGCCUAAUACAUGCAAGUCGAACGGAGAUUGUAGCAAUACUAUCUUAGUGGCGAACGGGUGAGUAACGCGUUGGUGACCUGCCCCGAAGCGGGGAAUAACAGUCCGAAAGGACUGCUAAUACCCCAUGUGGUCUCCAGGAUUGGAAGCCUGGUUACUAAAGGAGUAAUCCACUUUGGGAGGGGCCUGCGUCCCAUCAGCUAGUUGGUAGGGUAAUGGCCUACCAAGGCGAUGACGGGUAGGGGACCUGAGAGGGUGACCCCCCACACUGACACUGAAACACGGGUCAGACACCUACGGGAGGCAG